AGCAGCCGCGGUAAUUCCAGCUCCAAUAGCGUAUAUUAAAGUUGUUGCAGUUAAAAGCUCGUAGUUGAAUUUCGGGGUCAGUAGGUUGGUCAUGCCACUGGUAUGUACUGGUCUCACUGAUUCCUCCUUCCUGAUGAGCUGUAAUGCCAUUAAUUUGGUGUUGCGGGGAAUCUGGACUGUUACUUUGAAAAAUUAGAGUGUUUAAAGCAGGCUAACGCCUGAAUACAUUAGCAUGGAAUAAUGAAAUAGGACGUUCGAUCCUAUUUUGUUGGUUUCUAGGAUUGACGUAAUGAUUAAUAGGGAUAGUUGGGGGCAUUAGUAUUCCGUUGCUAGAGGUGAAAUUCUUGGAUCGUCGCAAGACGCACUACUGCGAAAGCAUUUGCCAAGAAUGUUUUCAUUAAUCAAGAACGAAAGUUAGAGGUUCGAAGGCGAUCAGAUACCGCCCUAGUUCUAACCAUAAACGAUGCCAACCAGCGAUCCGUCGGUGUUUAUUUGAUGACUCGACGGGCAGCUUCCGGGAAACCAAAGUGUUUGGG
Molecule: ribosomal RNA, 536 nt
Filed under: uncultured Glomeromycotina
Lineage: Eukaryota; Fungi; Glomeromycota
Description: SSU rRNA
Rfam family: Eukaryotic small subunit ribosomal RNA
Source: RNAcentral